RNAcentral lists this ribosomal RNA (143 nucleotides) under uncultured eukaryote. RNAcentral's name for it is "partial 18S ribosomal RNA". It matches the Rfam family "Eukaryotic small subunit ribosomal RNA", at positions 1299 to 1458 of the family's 1831-position model. The record is from RNAcentral.
UGGUGGGUUGCCUUGUCAGGUUGAUUCCGGUAACGAACGAGACCUCAGGGAGCUUGUUGGGCGGGGGCGGUGGGCCCGUCCCACCCCCCCGCCUCCAAGCCCGACUCUUGGCGACUAGCCAAGGGAAGUUUGAGGCAAUAACA